This 312-nucleotide ribosomal RNA is filed under the name uncultured bacterium. Its description in RNAcentral is "bacterial SSU rRNA". It matches the Rfam family "Bacterial small subunit ribosomal RNA", at positions 28 to 333 of the family's 1533-position model. The record is from RNAcentral.
GAUGAACGCUAGCGGCAGGCUUAAUACAUGCAAGUCGAGGGGCAGCAGUCCCGCAGCAAUGCGGGAGCUGGCGACCGGCAAACGGGUGCGGAACACGUACAGAACCUUCCUUCGAGCGGGGAAUAGCCCAGAGAAAUUUGGAUCAAUACCCCAUAGCAUUACGAAGUGGCAUCACUUUGUAAUUAAAGAUUUAUCACUCGAAGAUGGCUGUGCGGCUGAUUAGGUAGUUGGCGGAGUAACGGCCCACCAAGCCUUCGAUCAGUAACUGGUGUGAGAGCACGACCAGUCACACGGGCACUGAGACACGGGCCC